RNAcentral lists this transfer RNA (72 nucleotides) under Paraburkholderia domus. RNAcentral describes it as "Paraburkholderia sp. LMG 31832 tRNA-Arg". It matches the Rfam family "tRNA". From Rfam's summary of the family: Transfer RNA (tRNA) molecules are approximately 80 nucleotides in length. Their secondary structure includes four short double-helical elements and three loops (D, anti-codon, and T loops). Lineage: Bacteria; Pseudomonadati; Pseudomonadota; Betaproteobacteria; Burkholderiales; Burkholderiaceae. The record is from RNAcentral.
ACGCCGAUAAAUGGCAUUUUGUUCGGCCUUCUAAGCCGAGGGUGGGGGGUUCGAGUCCCUCCUGCCGUACCA